GGUGGCGAUAUUGCCCUCUCGCCUUCACCCUAUUUCAUGCUUCUCCCUGUAGCGAAGCAAUGGCAUUGCAGAUAUUCUUGUCAAAACCAAGGGUUUAUGGAGUGGGCCCCGUGAUGGAAAACUUGUGGUUUGGAGCGGUUGCACGGUCUUGAUCUUGAGCCUUGAAGCACCACCACACCGCCACCGCUACCGCCAUCAUCUUCAUCUCACAUGCGGAAAGGCUCUGGAUCAACACUGUUGCUUGUAUACCGUCGAUGAAUAUUGAAAGCUAUGAGAUCUGAGGGCUUCUUCAAGUUUCUGUUCAAACCCCUUUGUUUAUAUGUCGUUAUCAAGGAAUUAUAAAGCCCCGAUGCACUGAUUUCUUACCAGUGAGGCCCAUGGUUUGUCGAUCCAGACCGUUGAUCUUAUGGGACCUAUUAAAGAUGUGGGAUGCUCCAAAAAUAAUCUGGAGUGGGAGAUCCUUGCAGUCAAAUCUUUCUUCUUUCUCUUCUGGACCGUCGAUUUGCGGGCCUCAAAACAAAAGGUUUAGAACCUCUAAAUCUUGAGAUGCUGUUGGGAAAUCCCCGAGUGCUGGUGCAGGCCAUAAGAUCAGUGAUCUGGAUGACCAAACCUUGGGCCUAUAAAAUGGUGCGUCGGGAAACUAUUUGCAUUCUGAUACAUCGGGAGUUUAUAAUUCAUCUUUGUUAUUUCAUAAUUCCUUUUAUUAUACACUUAUUAGCUAAUCAUCUUUGGUGUUGAUUUACUUUCUCAAUACAAAUAAAAUGAAAGCAUUUCUCCCUUACUAAUAGCAUUCUCUCAAUGUAUUUACGCUAUGUGUGGAUGCACUAUUGAAUUGAAUUGCACUUUUAAGUCUGGCUAAGGGCU
This is a long non-coding RNA of Magnolia sinica, 864 nucleotides long. RefSeq lists it as uncharacterized. The transcript has 2 exons. Lineage: Eukaryota; Viridiplantae; Streptophyta; Magnoliopsida; Magnoliales; Magnoliaceae. The record is from RefSeq and is a predicted model, not a curated record.